UACGGGGGGAGCAAGCGUUGUUCGGAUUUACUGGGCGUAAAGGGCGCGUAGGCGGCCACCGCAAGUCGACUGUGAAAUCUCCGGGCUUAACCCGGAAAGGUCAGCCGAUACUGCGGGGCUAGAGUGCAGAAGGGGCAACUGGAAUUCUCGGUGUAGCGGUGAAAUGCGUAGAUAUCAGGAGGAACACCGGUGGCGAAGGCGGUUCUCUGGGCCUGUACUGACGCUGAGGAACGAAAGCGUGGGGAGCGAACAGG
This 254-nucleotide ribosomal RNA is filed under the name uncultured bacterium. RNAcentral's name for it is "partial 16S ribosomal RNA". It matches the Rfam family "Bacterial small subunit ribosomal RNA", at positions 524 to 776 of the family's 1533-position model. The record is from RNAcentral.